AACCCCCACAAGAAAAGCUCCUAAUGGCGCGUCGGCUACAGACAAUUGGGGAGGGCGCAGCUUGCUGGCAGCAGAAUGAGGGCAAAGAAUAGCCACGGUUGCUAAGGGACACAUAUUCGGGGUAACGGGGUAAAUAGGCGAUGGGAAUAAAACCCUUUUGCUCAUUUCACUGACGCACAGUCCGAGCCUUUCGCCGCUUAUAGUGCGCAAACUCCCGCCAAACAGCAGAGGGCGCUCCUGUCUUUUUGUGUCCCAGCGCUCCGCCCCCAGCCCUGUCACAUGGCGGUGACGCGGCGCGGCUAUAUAAGGAGCGCAGAAGGCCGCGGAGCUUCCUUUCCCGGAGUGCAGGCUGGAAGGUGCCAGAAGAGUGGGUGCCAGGCUGGAAGGUGCCAGAAGAGUGGGUGCCAGGCUGGAAGGUGCCAGAAGAGUGGGUGCCAGGCUGGAAGGUGCCGUAGGAGCGGACACUGUAUGUGCCACUUGCCCUACCAAUAAAGUGUGGUAACCCCA
Xenopus tropicalis (tropical clawed frog) is the source of this 507-nucleotide long non-coding RNA. RefSeq lists it as uncharacterized. The transcript has 2 exons. NCBI's taxonomy places the organism in Eukaryota, Metazoa, Chordata, Amphibia, Anura, Pipidae. The record is from RefSeq and is a predicted model, not a curated record.